CCCUCCUCUCACUCGUCUCUCUCACCUCGUCUCUUCAGAGACGGGUAAACCCUAGUAGCCGCCACCGUUUCUCGUCGCCUUCCGGUGGCGCCGCCGCCGCCUCCCUGUGGCGCCGCCGCCGCCUCGAACCCCUCCCAAAUUAACACCCUGAAACCCCUCAUACUAAAUCCACAAAUAUCUUCCCUCGAAUCACCCUGGAAAUCCUCGAAUCUUAGAUCAGAGACGAACCCUAAAAAUCCCAGGUCAAGUUUUUGGUAAAACUUCGUGUCUAAUCCGAUGUUAUUCGUGUGUCCUUUUGUAAGAACACACGAUUAACAUCAGAUUUGACCGAAAAUCAGAGGAUUUAAAGACCCAGGAUUCCCCCUUUCAUUUUCCGAUUUUCUUUUUAAAGGUAUUUUCCUUCAGACCAAUGUUAUCAAGUGAUGUACUACAAGUUAGAACCAGAUUGAAUCCAUGUAAAAAUCUGAGAAUCUUAGUUGAGAUUUGAAUAAAACACUUGUUAUUGAUGUAUGUGUUGUUGGAUUCUGCUAUCUUGUGUCUUUAAGUUCCUUAGUUUUGCAACAUUAUAGUCUUCUCGAGUAUGUUGAUCCGUUUAUUCAUGUUUAGUGGUUUAAGGCUGAUUGUUUAUUUAGAAUAAGUUUUGGAUUCAGAACAUUGGCAUUGUAAUAAUAAAUGAAAACUAAUGUAUGAAUGGACUGUUAGACAUGCUGCAAGGAAAGAUCUCUUGAGCAUAUCA
Long non-coding RNA from Nicotiana attenuata, 736 nucleotides. RefSeq lists it as uncharacterized. Lineage: Eukaryota; Viridiplantae; Streptophyta; Magnoliopsida; Solanales; Solanaceae. The transcript is spliced from 2 exons. The record is from RefSeq and is a predicted model, not a curated record.